UUGAUUUUUAAAGAUGUGCUGGCCUUCUAUUGGCAUGUGCACUCUUAAAAACUCCAAUAUCCACCUGUGCACAUUCUGUAGGCAUUUAUCUGCCUAUGCUUUUUUAUACACACUAUUGAUAUAUAUGAAUGUCAAUUUUAAUCAAUUGUAAAA
Molecule: unclassified non-coding RNA, 153 nt
Filed under: uncultured Clavariaceae
Lineage: Eukaryota; Fungi; Basidiomycota; Agaricomycetes; Agaricales; Clavariaceae
Description: sequence contains ITS1
Source: RNAcentral